RNAcentral lists this small RNA (28 nucleotides) under Bombyx mori (domestic silkworm). Its description in RNAcentral is "ovarian small RNA-36407". Lineage: Eukaryota; Metazoa; Arthropoda; Insecta; Lepidoptera; Bombycidae. The record is from RNAcentral.
UUACAAAGUACACAGUGCGGAACGGCGG